RNAcentral lists this ribosomal RNA (482 nucleotides) under uncultured bacterium. RNAcentral's name for it is "partial 16S ribosomal RNA". It matches the Rfam family "Bacterial small subunit ribosomal RNA", at positions 29 to 507 of the family's 1533-position model. The record is from RNAcentral.
AUUGAACGCUGGCGGCAUGCUUUACACAUGCCAGUCGAACGGUGACAGGCCGCAAGGUGCUGACGUGUGGGGGACGGGAGAGUAAUGCUUAGGAAUGUGCCCAGUCGUGGGGGAUAACUACCAGAAAGAGUAGCUAAUAGCGAAUACGAUAUAUGGACGAUAGAGGGGGACUGUAAGGCCUCAAGCUGUAGUUGCGGCCGAUGUCGAUUUAGGUAGUUGGUGGGGUAAAGGUGCACCAAGCCAACGACCCGUAGCCGGUCUGAGAGGACGACCCCCCACACUGGGACGGAGACACGGCCCAGACUCCAACGGGAGGAGGCGGUGGGGAAUUUUGGACAAUGGGCGCAAUCCUGAUCCAGCAAUGCCGCUGGGAGGAAGAAGGCUUUCGGGUGUUAAACUGCGUUUGUACGGAACGAAACGGCUCUGAGUAAAACCCUCAGCAAAUGACGGUACCGUAAGAAAAAGCACCGGCUAACUACGUG